UAGGGAAUCUUCCACAAUGGACGAAAGUCUGAUGGAGCAACGCCGCGUGAGUGAUGAAGGGUUUCGGCUCGUAAAACUCUGUUGUUGGAGAAGAACAGGUGAUAGAGUAACUGUUAUCAUCUUGACGGUAUCCAACCAGAAAGCCACGGCUAACUACGUGCCAGCAGCCGCGGUAAUACGUAGGUGGCAAGCGUUGUCCGGAUUUAUUGGGCGUAAAGCGAGCGCAGGCGGUUUUUUAGGUCUGAUGUGAAAGCCUUCGGCUUAACCGGAGAAGGGCAUCGGAAACCGGGAGACUUGAGUGCAGAAGAGGACAGUGGAACUCCAUGUGUAGCGGCGAAAUGCGUAGAUAUAUGGAAGAACACCAGUGGCGAAGGCGGCUGUCUGGUCUGUAACUGACGCUGAGGCUCGAAAGCAUGGGUAGCGAACAGGAUUAGAUACCCUGGUAGUCCAUGCCGUAAACGAUGAGUGCUAAGUGUUGGAGGGUUU
This 486-nucleotide ribosomal RNA is filed under the name uncultured bacterium. RNAcentral describes it as "partial 16S ribosomal RNA". It matches the Rfam family "Bacterial small subunit ribosomal RNA", at positions 355 to 833 of the family's 1533-position model. The record is from RNAcentral.